AGAAGAGCCAAAACAGGAACCGAGGUGGCAAAUCACUGUGCGAGGGCGAGUGGACCUCCCUCUUUGCCUCCUCCCUGUUCCAGGAGCUGGUCCCCUGGGCUCUGCGCUGUUGUUUUCAGCGCUCCGAAAGCCGGCGCUUCAGAUCCAGAUGAAAUCCCCACAGUGGUGGGGAUCUUCAGUGCAUUUGGCCUGGUCUUCACAGUCUCUCUCUUUGCAUGGAUCUGCUGUCAGAGAAAAUCAUCCAAGUCUAACAAGACUCCUCCAUACAAGUUUGUGCAUGUGCUUAAGGGAGUUGAUAUUUACCCUGAAAACCUAAAUAGCAAAAAGAAGUUUGGAGCAGAUGAUAAAAAUGAAGUAAAGAAUAAGCCAGCUGUGCCAAAGAAUUCAUUGCAUCUGGAUCUUGAAAAGAGAGAUCUCAAUGGCAAUUUUCCCAAAACCAACCUCAAACCUGGCAGUCCUUCUGAUCUGGAGAAUGCAACCCCGAAGCUCUUUUUAGAAGGGGAAAAAGAG
This 510-nucleotide small RNA is filed under the name Pan troglodytes (chimpanzee). RNAcentral describes it as "processed transcript". The record is from RNAcentral. Lineage: Eukaryota; Metazoa; Chordata; Mammalia; Primates; Hominidae.